GGAGUUGUGGCUCAGCGGUAGAGCACUUGCCUGGCAUGUGUGAGGCCCUGGGUUCAAUGCUCAGCACCA
Molecule: transfer RNA, 69 nt
Filed under: Marmota marmota marmota (Alpine marmot)
Lineage: Eukaryota; Metazoa; Chordata; Mammalia; Rodentia; Sciuridae
Also listed under: 2 other names
Rfam family: tRNA
About the family: Transfer RNA (tRNA) molecules are approximately 80 nucleotides in length. Their secondary structure includes four short double-helical elements and three loops (D, anti-codon, and T loops).
Source: Rfam by way of RNAcentral